UACAGAGGCCUCGAGCGUUAGGCGGAAUCACUGGGCUUAAAGCGUGUGUAGGCGGACUUCUAAGUACCUUGUGAAAUCCCACGGCUCAACCGUGGAACUGCUUGGUAUACUGGUUGUCUUGAGGCACUCAGGGGCGAGCGGAACAGAUGGUGGAGCGGUGAAAUGCGUAGAUAUCAUCUGGAACGCCAAUGGUGAAGACAGCUCGCUGGGGGUGUACUGACACUGAGACACGAAAGCCAGGGGAGCAAACGGG
RNAcentral lists this ribosomal RNA (253 nucleotides) under uncultured bacterium. RNAcentral describes it as "partial 16S ribosomal RNA". It matches the Rfam family "Bacterial small subunit ribosomal RNA", at positions 524 to 776 of the family's 1533-position model. The record is from RNAcentral.